GAACAUGAUCUAGACCAGGAUGUUCUGUUCUUUAGUUCCACUUCUAGCUCCUCAGAUUCUAGCUCCGGUGGAUUCUCAUCCUCUGAUACAGAAUCCUUCAACGGUGCAAGAUCAAGGUCUUCUUCCUUCUUCCCACCAAGGCCUAAGCCUGUGAGGACCAGCAUCUCAACUCUAUCAGAAAAAACAGAGAAAACAGAGAGAACAGGGAGGACUCUGUUUUAUGAACAGAGGGAAUUGCAU
This 240-nucleotide unclassified non-coding RNA is filed under the name Hevea brasiliensis (rubber tree). The record is from RNAcentral. Lineage: Eukaryota; Viridiplantae; Streptophyta; Magnoliopsida; Malpighiales; Euphorbiaceae.